This is a long non-coding RNA of Mytilus californianus (California mussel), 2036 nucleotides long. RefSeq lists it as uncharacterized. Lineage: Eukaryota; Metazoa; Mollusca; Bivalvia; Mytilida; Mytilidae. The transcript is spliced from 7 exons. The record is from RefSeq and is a predicted model, not a curated record.
GGGGGGGGGGCUAGGAUGAAAAAUUUUGUCCUGCCUAUUUAUUUUUCCCUCUAUUCGGUCUUGCCUUUUUUAUUUUUCACUCUAUUCGGUCCUGAUUUUUUUUUUUCAUUUAUCCUGACUUUUUUUUACAUAAAUUGUCAUCCUGCCUUUUUUUUUGCAAAUAAUCUCGUCCUGCCUUUUUUUUUACUCAAAACUCCUGUCCUGCCUAUUUUUUUCAAAUUUCAUCCUAGCCCCUCCAUAAAAAUCAAAUGGUAGCUCCCUAAUUUAUAUUUUUUGUUUUUCUUACAGAGACAGGAGCCCCAGGACGAAAACGGAUUCAGCAGCACAUUUUAAGUUAAGUAUAUUUUUAUUUUAAGUGACCCAUAGACUGUCAUCAAUAUUAUACUAAUUUAUACUUUUUGUUUUUCUUACAGAGACAGGAGCCCCCAGGACGAAAACGGAUUCAGCAGCACAUUUUAAGUUAAGUAUAUUUUUAUUUAAAGUGACCCAUAGACUGUCAUCAAUAUUAUACUAAUUUAUACUUUUUGUUUUUCUUACAGAGACAGGAGCCCCCAGGACGAAAACGGAUUCAGCAGCACAUUUCAAGUUCAGUAUAUUUUUAUUUUAAGUGACCCAUAGACUGUCAUCAAUAUUCUACUAAUUUAUACUUUUUGUUUUUCUUACAGAGACGGGAGCCCAAAGGACGAAAGCCGAUUCAGCAGCACAUUUUAAGUUAAGUAUAUUUUUAUUUAAAGUGACACAUAGACUGUCAUCAAUAUUAUACUAAUUUAUACUUUUUGUUUUUCUUACAGAGACAGGAGCCCCCAGGACAAAAGCCGGUUCAGCAGCACAUUUAAAGUUAAGUAUAUUUUUUUUUGAAGUGACCCAUAGACUGUCAUCAAUAUGUAACUAAAACAAAUGUCAAAUGUUUAUAAUCUUUGGAGAACUAGUUAUUGGAGUUGUUGAUCUUCAAUGACGAUUUUUACCAGUGAUCAGCAAGACAAGAUCUACAAAAAAAAAACACCAUGGCUUAAAUUUUAGUUGACCUGUUCAUGGAGUUAUUGCCGUUUAAAGAUGAUUUUUACCAUUUUUUUUUAGUUUUUGCUUAUUAUUUUGAAAAGAGUAUAAUGGAUACAAAUGUAGAUAGAAACUUUAAAAAGCAAAAAUGAUCAGCAGGACGGAUCUACAAAUAUGUCAACAUGACUGAAAUUGUCAGUUAAUUUUUUAUAGAGUUAUUGCCCUUUUGUAAUGAUUUUAACCAAGAAGUUGAAUAUGCAGGUUAGUGACACAGGCUCUUAAAUUAGAGCCUCUGUUUGGAACAGUUUUGAUUGGCUAAGCAUUUUACUUUCAGGCUAUCAUUAAUUACUGCUUGUCAGUAUGGAUUGGUGUUUAGAAUGGUCAUUGGAGCUGACUUUUAAGCGGAUGUGGUCAAGUGGUCAAGAGUGCUGGACAUGAGGCUAAGCUAUUGGUGCUGUAGGUUAUCAAAAGUCUAUUUGCAGAAGUUGCAGGAAAAGACUGUUAUCAUCACAGCAUACAGAUAUUACAGAUGAAAUACGGAUGGAAGAUUGUACUGAAACAGCUGAUGAAAUUGACCUUAGAUAAUGAAAGAAAAAGUGGAGGAUUGUUAUCAAAAAUAACAGCAGAAAAAAAAGGACUGACACCUUUCAAGAGUCUAAAGAUGAACAUGAAAUAUCAGCCUGUAGUAGUUGGAGAGAAAGAGAAGACAUAAUUUACAUAUCAAGCAGUUAGCAUUACAGCUUGUUCAUAUGGAUUAAUGUUAGGAAAGACUAUUGGAGUUGACUUUUAAGAUAACAAUUCCUGUGGCUGCAUGAAAUAAUUGUGUGAUUAAUUCUGUAACAGUGAAAGAAUUGUUAGAAUAAAGAUUCAGUAUACGUAGCAUACCAGUAGUCAGUGGGUUUUCAAAGAGUUACUGUUCCUUGCAUAGUUUCUUGGAUAUUAUAUUGGUUCGUUGCAUAGAUUCUUGUAUUUUAUAUUGUAAAUACGUAAAUAUUUUCCAGAUAUUGUUUUGAAAUUUACAGACUUUAAAUAGAAAUUUG